GGAAUGUGAGAAGUCACCAUUUAAUUUUAAAUGAUACUCAGAAUGCAGCGACUAAAGUAAUGAGCAUGUUUUAAUUCAUCAGAUACUUACUUGACAGUUGUCUAGGAUCAGAGAGACACACGAUAGCAGAGACUGCUGGUUUGCCUUCCUCAAUAUCUACUCUCCACCAUGCCAUAAUAAGAUCACACACAGUGACCCAGAGCAAAUACUCUGUUCUCAGUCCUCCAUGCAGCUGGAUGUGUCCUGUGGCUAAAUUCUGGCCAGUAAGACGGGAAUGGAAGCUUUGUGUGGCAGCUUCCAACAACACUCCCUAAGGUCUUCCCAGGACGGACUUCUGCCACGGGGAUGAUGAGGAAGUGGGUCUCAGAAGACUGAGACUGAACCUCCUGGGCACUUUGCCUCUGGAACAAAUGACAGGAAACAUCCAUUCAACAGGCUGCUCAUCCCUUACAUUGAUCUCAAUGAGGCUCUGCCAAUUAGUGUAUUUUGUAAAAGAUCAAGAACCCAGCAACAAGGGGCUUGUGAUCGAUAUCAGGGCUUUUGUUCUAAGCAGCCACUUAUCUCAGUAAUUCUCGCUGAGAGUCUGUUGAAACAAGAGCUUCAAUUUUAUUGGAAUGGCUUAUAAUUUGUGCGUUAUUUUUAAAAGAAGAGACACACAUGAGCUGGCCUAUUAUUCCCUCUUACAAUUACCUUGGAACCUCUUCUUUUUCUUUAAAAGAUCAAAAAUUGUAACAGGAAAUAGGAUUACAUGAAUAAAUUCCAAGGCACUGAGAAGACACUGACACCACUUUUGAGUAAUCUGGCCCGACUUUCAGCACUUGUAAUGAGUGUGUGCCCUCGGUCUAUUAAUAAAACAUUGUUUUUCAGUUCUGAGUC
Molecule: long non-coding RNA, 876 nt
Organism: Bubalus bubalis (water buffalo)
Lineage: Eukaryota; Metazoa; Chordata; Mammalia; Artiodactyla; Bovidae
Exons: 2
Source: RefSeq, a predicted model, not a curated record